AAUGUUUAGUAGCAUAUGUGC
This 21-nucleotide unclassified non-coding RNA is filed under the name Mus musculus (house mouse). RNAcentral's name for it is "oocyte_clustered_small_RNA2644". Lineage: Eukaryota; Metazoa; Chordata; Mammalia; Rodentia; Muridae. The record is from RNAcentral.